This 489-nucleotide non-coding RNA is filed under the name Pongo abelii (Sumatran orangutan). The record is from RNAcentral. Lineage: Eukaryota; Metazoa; Chordata; Mammalia; Primates; Hominidae.
CCUCCCAGGUUCAAGCGAUUCUCCUGCCUCAGCCUCCCAAGUAGCUGGAACUACAGAUAACUGAUACCGUGCUUCCAGAAGAUUUUUCUAACAGUGUUUGCAGGCUAUAAAAUAGUGCUUUCACUUAGAAAAGGCCAGACAUGGUGGUUCAUGCCUGUAAUCCCUAGCACUUUGAGAGGCCAAGGCACCAUGCCGGGAGAUAAGGAUCCAACAUAAGACAAACAGGGCUGAUGCUUUUGGAAAGCUCAUAUUCAAGCUGGGGAGACAAACAACAUACAAGAGGGCUCUGAGAGAUUUCAUUUCUGUCCUGCUGAUGAAGUCUACGUUCAUUCAGGGCCUGCUGUGGAAGACCAGCCCCAAAGUUGCUGAACAGAAGUCUUUUGAGAGUCAGCAGAAAUCUUCCACUUUGCAUGGUUCUCUUGAUGUGAAAUCAUCUAUAUAGCCCCAGAAUUGGAAAAGAAAAAAAUAAAAAAAUAGAAUGAAACUGGA